ACUCCUACGGGAGGCACAGUGGGGGAAUAUUGCACAAUGGGCGCAAGCCUGAUGCAGCCAUGCCGCGUGUAUGAAGAAGGCCUUCGGGUUGUAAAGUACUUUCAGCAGUGAGGAAGGUGGGUGUGUUAAUAGCAUACUCAUUUGACGUUAGCUGCAGAAGAAGCACCGGCUAACUCCGUGCCAGCAGCCGCGGUAAUACGGAGGGUGCGAGCGUUAAUCGGAAUUACUGGGCGUAAAGCGCAUGCAGGUGGUUUGUUAAGUCAGAUGUGAAAGCCCGGGGCUCAACCUCGGAAUUGCAUUUGAAACUGGCAAACUAGAGUACUGUAGAGGGGGGUAGAAUUUCAGGUGUAGCGGUGAAAUGCGUAGAGAUCUGAAGGAAUACCGGUGGCGAAGGCGGCCCCCUGGACAGAUACUGACACUCAGAUGCGAAAGCGUGGGGAGCAAACAGGAUUAGAUACCCUGGUAGCUACGAGU
This 474-nucleotide ribosomal RNA is filed under the name uncultured bacterium. RNAcentral's name for it is "bacterial SSU rRNA". It matches the Rfam family "Bacterial small subunit ribosomal RNA", at positions 335 to 802 of the family's 1533-position model. The record is from RNAcentral.